This 80-nucleotide small nucleolar RNA is filed under the name Genlisea aurea. RNAcentral's name for it is "Small nucleolar RNA R44/J54/Z268 family". It matches the Rfam family "Small nucleolar RNA R44/J54/Z268 family". Rfam says of the family: R44, J54 and Z268 are members of the C/D class of snoRNA which contain the C (UGAUGA) and D (CUGA) box motifs. Most of the members of the box C/D family function in directing site-specific 2'-O-methylation of substrate RNAs. Lineage: Eukaryota; Viridiplantae; Streptophyta; Magnoliopsida; Lamiales; Lentibulariaceae. The record is from Rfam by way of RNAcentral.
UAUGCAAGUGAUGAUAAAACAGACAGGGACAUCAGAACUUCAGUAUGAUGAUUUGUCGUUGGGAAUCUCUCUGAUGCAUA